UGCAAAACUCCUGCAGAUGUUGCUGCAGUUUUAGUUACCUGAUCAGUACAUUCAAUUAUUACACAUAUUUAAAAAUAUUGCAGGCCAAACAAAUCACAAGGGUAAUUAUUGAAAAUAAUUUGAGUGGGCUCAGGGAAUAUCCAGUACAUUCCCUAAGGAUCAAGUAUUAAUUACUUAAAGACACACAACUAUUUUUAUUCAGCUUGAAACUGAUCUUGUUACAAUAUUUAAGUAUUUCUUAAUCUUUUCUCCUGAAUCUGUUUAUGUAUAAUACAGUAAAAACAGACCAUCAUUCAACAUGAAUUAGCAAUUUUAGACAGCUUAAUUUCAAGCAUGGUACAUUUAUGGAAUCUCACACAUUCAUGUGAAAAUGUAGUUCACACAUAGGAGAUGCAAUUUGUAGUAAUCUUGGCAACAUAUCUGUAGGGAGUAAUUCAUAGCAAAUUUUAGUCUUUGCAAAACAGUAACAUUCAAAACAUACUAGUCGGUGAUAAUAAAGUUGAUUCUGAUUCUGCAAUCACCAGAGAAGCUACUGGGGAUAUUGUGGGCUGAAGUCUGAUGAACCAGAACUUGCCCUGAACCAAAGAACUAUCACCUGAGAAGCAUUCAUUCAAAGCAGUGGAGUAUUUCUGCAAUGAAGUAUAUUACAUUAGCCACAGCAGUAGUGGAAAACUAUAAAAGCCUUCAAGAUUCUUGGAUUCAGAUUGGUUUCGGGGUCCAAGCAAAGAUCUUGGACCUGGCAGUUAUUUAAUAAUCUGUGUGUGAAAAUCUUGUCGAAGAGGAACAAAAUUUGAUUUAGUCAUUUUCUCCUCACCUACUUCUUUCAAGUGCCCCAUCAACAUCCACCAGCAAAAAUGAACAAUGGCACAUGGUCAAGGCACCACAAAGGGUUGAACUUCUGUGAGUAUAGCAUCCUAGAAAUGAGACAGCUUCUUCAUUACAGAUUUCUGUAAAGGCCUUGAACUUCUGACCAUUGAGGCACCUUAUCCAGUUACAUAAUUACAAUCAUUUAUGCAAAGUUCUUUUUUUAAAUCUUCAUAAUGUACAAACUUUGUACUUGCCUGGAGCUAGCCACAAAAAUAAAAUCAUGGAAAUUUACAGAAGACAUUGAAUAUGGAUUUUAUGCUCUAUACCAUGACAGGACAGCUUGUGGAAGUGCUUAAAAAGCACAUAGGAUGCUGGACUUUAUUAACAGAGACAGAAUUUUCUCCCUUUUCUGUUCGAAGGUCCUUGAGUGAGGUGGUUAAUGAAGCCAACAUGGGACCUGCAGAAGACCACAAGAUGCUUGACAGGGCAGGUGGAUAGCUUGCGAAGUAUUGUGAUUCCACUACGUCUUCUAAUGGGAUCCCAUGUGUUCAUUGCAAAUGGAUGUGUUCUCAAUGCCAGCUCAAAGCUUCUUCCCAUUUUGAGCAGUCAGAGGUGGAUGGAGUUCUAUCGAAGCCCUUGACAUAGAACUACACUUAAACAUCAGUUCUUUGCAGCGAUGGGACCCGCUCCCAGCACUCACUGACUGACCAUUUUGACGUCCCAAGGACGUGGCCGAGAAGACGAGUAUGUCUUCGGGGUUCUGAGGCUUUGCAGUCCUAGGGACGAGCCAAUUCCAUACCAGUGCCGCCGAAUGAAGUGUCAUGGGGAGAAAACGUAACAUCAGGAAGAUGUCCGCGAAGAACAAGAACAGGUUGUAUAUUGUAUACAUUCUCUGAUAUUAAAUGGAACUAUUGAACAGAUUGAAAAAAAAAUUUCUUUCUGUCUCCCUUCUGUUACCAAUUUCUUUCAAAGACGAUGCUUCUUCUUGGGUGCUCAGAUGAAUAACCCAUUUCAGUUCUUCAAGGAUAGCGAUAAUAUCAGGCUACUCAAACACAAGAGCCAUCAGAAACUUGAUGAUGCAUUGUAAACACCUCACAAAUCAUUUGCAUUCAUGGUUUUGCAACUUGCAGCCAGGAACCUCAAAUAACUGGCACUUUUCUCAGCUCAAAGAUACGAAGAGUAAUUUGAAUGAAUCCAAUGACACCUUAAUAGGCACCUUAUCAAUAAAGGUUUAAAGGAGGUCAUCCCAACCUACAUGGCUUGAUGAAGUUUACAGCCCCUUGGUUCAUUUCCCCACUGAGGAGCCAUUUCUGCAUUCUUCACGUAUCUAUGCAUCUACAGUAGCAUUUGGAACCAUACAAUAACAUGCAAAGAAAAUCAGUUUAAUUGA
Molecule: long non-coding RNA, 2197 nt
Organism: Mobula hypostoma (lesser devil ray)
Lineage: Eukaryota; Metazoa; Chordata; Chondrichthyes; Myliobatiformes; Myliobatidae
Exons: 3
Source: RefSeq, a predicted model, not a curated record